UAGUAGCAGUUCGGUUCUAUAUAAGGGCGGUCGGCUCACCCCUCAUUGUUUGAAAGAAAGGGGGUGAGAUUAUGGCAGUAUCAGAAGCUUUGCAACUAAUGGUGUCUUUCGGCAUCUUAAUUGUGGCUAUUCUGUCAUUUAACCAUAAAAAAAAGUAAGAUCGCCCUUGAUUCCCACACCAAGACGAUCUUACCACUAACGGGAUAAUAACAAUAGAGCCGACUCCUUAAUGGAGCCAUCUGUUGCUGUCCGGGAGAUGUUAGCGCAUCUUCCG
RNAcentral lists this small RNA (274 nucleotides) under Bacillus subtilis. RNAcentral's name for it is "BsrG". It matches the Rfam family "BsrG". From Rfam's summary of the family: bsrE, bsrG and bsrH pair through intermolecular interactions with antisense sRNAs. Lineage: Bacteria; Bacillati; Bacillota; Bacilli; Caryophanales; Bacillaceae. The record is from RNAcentral.